RNAcentral lists this ribosomal RNA (253 nucleotides) under uncultured bacterium. Its description in RNAcentral is "partial 16S ribosomal RNA". It matches the Rfam family "Bacterial small subunit ribosomal RNA", at positions 524 to 776 of the family's 1533-position model. The record is from RNAcentral.
UACGUAGGGGGCUAGCGUUGUCCGGAAUCAUUGGGCGUAAAGAGCGUGUAGGCGGUCCGGUAAGUCCGUUGUGAAAGUCAGGGGCUCAACCCUUGAAUGCCGGCGGAUACUGUCGGGCUAGAGUCCGGAAGAGGCGAGUGGAAUUCCCGGUGUAGCGGUGAAAUGCGCAGAUAUCGGGAGGAACACCUAUGGCGAAGGCAGCUCGCUGGGACGAUACUGACGCUGAGACGCGAAAGCGUGGGGAGCAAACAGG